GGGUUGUGGCUCAGCGGUAGAGCGCUUGCCUACCUCGUGUGGGGCCCUGGGUUCAAUCCCCAGGACCCA
This 69-nucleotide transfer RNA is filed under the name Marmota monax (woodchuck). Its description in RNAcentral is "tRNA.Gly". Lineage: Eukaryota; Metazoa; Chordata; Mammalia; Rodentia; Sciuridae. The record is from RNAcentral.